RNAcentral lists this ribosomal RNA (484 nucleotides) under uncultured bacterium. Its description in RNAcentral is "partial 16S ribosomal RNA". It matches the Rfam family "Bacterial small subunit ribosomal RNA", at positions 30 to 507 of the family's 1533-position model. The record is from RNAcentral.
AUUGAACGCUAGCGGGAUGCUUUACACAUGCAAGUCGAACGGCAGCGCGGACUUCGGUCUGGCGGCGAGUGGCGAACGGGUGAGUAAUGUAUCGGAACGUGCCCAGUAGCGGGGGAUAACUACGCGAAAGCGUAGCUAAUACCGCAUACGCCCUACGGGGGAAAGCAGGGGAUCGUAAGACCUUGCACUAUUGGAGCGGCCGAUAUCGGAUUAGCUAGUUGGUGGGGUAACGGCUCACCAAGGCGACGAUCCGUAGCUGGUUUGAGAGGACGACCAGCCACAAUGGGAAUGAGACACGGCCCAAACUCCUACGGGGGGCACCAGUGGGGAAUUUUGGACAAUGGGGGCAACCUUGAUCCAGCCAUCCCGCGUGUGCGAUGAAGGCUUUCGGGUUGUAAAGCAAUUUUGGCGGGAAAGAAACGUCGCGGGCUAAUACCCCGUGGAACUGACGGUACCUGCAGAAUAAGCACCGGCUAACUACGUG